AUGAACGCUGGCGGCGUGCCUCAUACAUGCAAGUCGCGCGAACAGACGAGGAGCUUGCUCCUCUGACGUUAGCGGCGGACGGGUGAGUAACACGUGGAUAACCUACCUAUAAGACUGGGAUAACUUCGGGAAACCGGAGCUAAUACCGGAUAAUAUAUUGAACCGCAUGGUUCAAUAGUGAAAGACGGUUUUGCUGUCACUUAUAGAUGGAUCCGCGCCGCAUUAGCUAGUUGGUAAGGUAACGGCUUACCAAGGCGACGAUGCGUAACCGACCUGAGAGGGUGAUCGGCCACACUGGAACUGAGACACGGUCCAGACUCCUACGGGAGGCAGCAGUAGGGAAUCUUCCGCAAUGGGCGAAAGCCUGACGGAGCAACGCCGCGUGAGUGAUGAAGGUCUUCGGAUCGUAAAACUCUGUUAUUAGGGAAGAACAAAUGUGUAAGUAACUAUGCACGUCUUGACGGUACCUAAUCAGAAAGCCACGGCUAACUACGUG
This 496-nucleotide ribosomal RNA is filed under the name uncultured bacterium. Its description in RNAcentral is "partial 16S ribosomal RNA". It matches the Rfam family "Bacterial small subunit ribosomal RNA", at positions 29 to 507 of the family's 1533-position model. The record is from RNAcentral.